GCGGGAGUAGUUCAGUGGUAGAACAUCUGCUUCCCAAGCAGAGAGUCGCGAGUUCGAGUCUCGUCUCCCGCU
RNAcentral lists this transfer RNA (72 nucleotides) under Chloroflexi bacterium RBG_13_51_36. Its description in RNAcentral is "tRNA-Gly". It matches the Rfam family "tRNA". Rfam says of the family: Transfer RNA (tRNA) molecules are approximately 80 nucleotides in length. Their secondary structure includes four short double-helical elements and three loops (D, anti-codon, and T loops). Further hydrogen bonds mediate the characteristic L-shaped molecular structure. tRNAs have two regions of fundamental functional importance: the anti-codon, which is responsible for specific mRNA codon recognition, and the 3' end, to which the tRNAs corresponding amino acid is attached (by aminoacyl-tRNA synthetases). tRNAs cope with the degeneracy of the genetic code in two manners: having more than one tRNA (with a specific anti-codon) for a particular amino acid; and 'wobble' base-pairing, i.e. permitting non-standard base-pairing at the 3rd anti-codon position. The record is from RNAcentral. RNAcentral also lists the same sequence under 1 other name. Lineage: Bacteria; Bacillati; Chloroflexota.